UACGUAGGGUGCAAGCGUUAAUCGGAAUUACUGGGCGUAAAGCGUACGCAGGCGGCUUUGCAAGACAGGUGUGAAAUCCCCUGGCCUAACCUGGGAACUGCAUUUGUGACUGCAUAGCUAGAGUUUGUCAGAGGGGGGUGGAAUUCCACGUGUAGCAGUGAAAUGCGUAGAGAUGUGGAGGAACACCGAUGGCGAAGGCAGCCCCCUGGGCUAACACUGACGCUCAUGCACGAAAGCGUGGGGAGCAAACAGG
This 253-nucleotide ribosomal RNA is filed under the name uncultured bacterium. RNAcentral describes it as "partial 16S ribosomal RNA". It matches the Rfam family "Bacterial small subunit ribosomal RNA", at positions 524 to 776 of the family's 1533-position model. The record is from RNAcentral.